AUUGAACGCUGGCGGCAGGCCUAACACAUGCAAGUCGAACGGUAACAGGAAGCAGCUUGCUGCUUCGCUGACGAGUGGCGGACGGGUGAGUCAUGUCUGGGAAGCUGCCUGAUGGAGGGGGAUAACUACUGGAAACGGUAGCUAAUACCGCAUAAUGUCGCAAGACCAAAGAGGGGGACCUUCGGGCCUCUUGCCAUCGGAUGUGCCCAGAUGGGAUUGGCUUGUUGGUGGGGUAACGGCUCACCAAGGCGACGAUCCCUAGCUGGUCUGAGAGGAUGACCAGCCACACUGGAACUGAGACACGGUCCAGACUCCGACGGGAGGCAGCAGUGGGGAAUAUUGCACAAUGGGCGCAAGCCUGAUGCAGCCAUGCCGCGUGUAUGAAGAAGGCCUUCGGGUUGUAAAGUACUUUCAGCGGGGAGGAAGGGAGUAAAGUUAAUACCUUUGCUCAUUGACGUUACCCGCAGAAGAAGCACCGGCUAACUCCGUG
This 490-nucleotide ribosomal RNA is filed under the name uncultured bacterium. RNAcentral's name for it is "partial 16S ribosomal RNA". It matches the Rfam family "Bacterial small subunit ribosomal RNA", at positions 30 to 507 of the family's 1533-position model. The record is from RNAcentral.